Molecule: ribosomal RNA, 1371 nt
Filed under: uncultured bacterium
Lineage: Bacteria
Description: bacterial SSU rRNA
Rfam family: Bacterial small subunit ribosomal RNA
Source: RNAcentral
GAUGAACGCUGGCGGCGUGCCUAAUACAUGCAAGUCGAGCGAACGGACGAGAAGCUUGCUUCUCUGAUGUUAGCGGCGGACGGGUGAGUAACACGUGGAUAACCUACCUAUAAGACUGGGAUAACUUCGGGAAACCGGAGCUAAUACCGGAUAAUAUUUUGAACCGCAUGGUUCAAAAGUGAAAGACGGUCUUGCUGUCACUUAUAGAUGGAUCCGCGCUGCAUUAGCUAGUUGGUAAGGUAACGGCUUACCAAGGCAACGAUGCAUAGCCGACCUGAGAGGGUGAUCGGCCACACUGGAACUGAGACACGGUCCAGACUCCUACGGGAGGCAGCAGUAGGGAAUCUUCCGCAAUGGGCGAAAGCCUGACGGAGCAACGCCGCGUGAGUGAUGAGGGUCUUCGGAUCGUAAAACUCUGUUAUUAGGGAAGAACAUAUGUGUAAGUAACUGUGCACAUCUUGACGGUACCUAAUCAGAAAGCCACGGCUAACUACGUGCCAGCAGCCGCGGUAAUACGUAGGUGGCAAGCGUUAUCCGGAAUUAUUGGGUGUAAGGCGCGCGUAGGCGGUUUUUUAGUCUGAUGUGAAAGCCCACGGCCUCACCGUGGAGGGUCAUUGGAAACUGGAAAACUUGAGUGCAGAAGAGGAAAGUGGAAUUCCAUGUGUAGCGGUGAAAUGCGCAGAGAUAUGGAGGAACACCAGUGGCGAAGGCGACUUUCUGGUCUGUAACUGACGCUGAUGUGCGAAAGCGUGGGGAUCAAACAGGAUUAGAUACCCUGGUAGUCCACGCCGUAAACGAUGAGUGCUAAGUGUUAGGGGGUUUCCGCCCCUUAGUGCUGCAGCUAACGCAUUAAGCACUCCGCCUGGGGAGUACGACCGCAAGGUUGAAACUCAAAGGAAUUGACGGGGACCCGCACAAGCGGUGGAGCAUGUGGUUUAAUUCGAAGCAACGCGAAGAACCUUACCAAAUCUUGACAUCCUUUGACAACUCUAGAGAUAGAGCUUUCCCCUUCGGGGGACAAAGUGACAGGUGGUGCAUGGUUGUCGUCAGCUCGUGUCGUGAGAUGUUGGGUUAAGUCCCGCAACGAGCGCAACCCUUAAGCUUAGUUGCCAUCAUUAAGUUGGGCACUCUAAGUUGACUGCCGGUGACAAACCGGAGGAAGGUGGGGAUGACGUCAAAUCAUCAUGCCCCUUAUGAUUUGGGCUACACACGUGCUACAAUGGACAAUACAAAGGGCAGCGAAACCGUAAGGUCAAGCAAAUCCCAUAAAGUUGUUCUCAGUUCGGAUUGUAGUCUGCAACUCGACUACAUGAAGCUGGAAUCGCUAGUAAUCGUAGAUCAGCAUGCUACGGUGAAUACGUUCCCGGGUCU